CAGUAGCCACGGUAAUACGGAGGGGGCUAGCGUUGUUCGGAACUACUGGGCGUAAAGCGCACGUAGGCGGCUUUGUAAGUUAGAGGUGAAAGCCCGGAGCUCAACUCCGGAAUCGCCUUUAAGACUGCAGAGCUAGCAGGUGAGAGAGGUGAGUGGAAUUCCGAGUGUAGAGGUGAAAUUCGUAGAUAUUCGGAAGAACACCAGUGGCGAAGGCGGCUCACUGGCUCAUACUGGACGCUGAGGUGCGAAAGCGUGGGGAGCAAACAGGACUAGAGACCCCGGUAGUCCCUGUCUCUUAUAA
Molecule: ribosomal RNA, 301 nt
Filed under: uncultured bacterium
Lineage: Bacteria
Description: partial 16S ribosomal RNA
Rfam family: Bacterial small subunit ribosomal RNA
Source: RNAcentral